CAGCAGCCGCGGUAAUACGGAGGAUCCAAGCGUUAUCCGGAAUCAUUGGGUUUAAAGGGUCCGUAGGUGGAUAAUUAAGUCAGAGGUGAAAGUUUGCAGCUCAACUGUAAAAUUGCCUUUGAUACUGGUUAUCUUGAAUUAUUGUGAAGUGGUUAGAAUAUGUAGUGUAGCGGUGAAAUGCAUAGAUAUUACAUAGAAUACCAAUUGCGAAGGCAGAUCACUAACAAUAUAUUGACACUGAUGGACGAAAGCGUGGGGAGCGAACAGGAUUAGAUACCCUGGUAGUCCACGCCGUAAACGAUGGUCACUAGCUGUUCGAACUUCGGUUUGAGUGGCUAAGAGAAAUUGAUAAGUGACCCACCUGGGGAGUACGUUCGCAAGAAUGAAACUCAAAGGAAUUGACGGGGGCCCGCACAAGCGGUGGAGCAUGUGGUUUAAUUCGAUGAUACGCGAGGAACCUUACCAGGGCUUAAAUGUAGUCUGCAUUAGUUAGAGAUAGUCUUUUCUUCGGACCACUUACAAGGUGCUGCAUGGUUGUCGUCAGCUCGUGCCGUGAGGUGUCAGGUUAAGUCCUAUAACGAGCGCAACCCCUGUUGUUAGUUGCCAGCGAGUCAUGUCGGAACUCUAACAAGACUGCCAGUGCAAACUGUGAGAAAGGUGGGGAUGACGUCAAAUCAUCACGGCCCUUACGUCCUGGGCCACACACGUGCUACAAUGGCCGGUACAGAGAGCAGCCAUCUGGCAACAGAGAGCGAAUCUACAAAACCGGUCACAGUUCGGAUCGGGGUCUGCAACUCGACCCCGUGAAGCUGGAAUCGCUAGUAAUCGGAUACCAGCCAUGAUCCGGUGAAUACGUUCCCGGGCCUUGUACACACCGCCCGUCAAGCCAUGGAAGCUGGGAGCACCUGAAGUCCGUCACCGUAAGGAGCGGCCUAGGGUGAAACUGGUAACCGGGGCUAAGUCGUAACAAGGUAGCCGUA
Molecule: ribosomal RNA, 980 nt
Filed under: uncultured bacterium BURTON-32
Lineage: Bacteria; Pseudomonadati; Bacteroidota; Bacteroidia; Bacteroidales; Bacteroidaceae
Description: bacterial SSU rRNA
Rfam family: Bacterial small subunit ribosomal RNA
Source: RNAcentral